RNAcentral lists this long non-coding RNA (927 nucleotides) under Ficedula albicollis (Collared flycatcher). Its description in RNAcentral is "lncRNA (ENSFALG00000028133.1)". Lineage: Eukaryota; Metazoa; Chordata; Aves; Passeriformes; Muscicapidae. The record is from RNAcentral.
CUGGAUUAGAUUCUGCUCUGUGAAAAGAAAGAGCAUUUUCACAGGCUCUGGAACAAAGUGGAAUUAUCCCACAGUCACAGUCCUGGAUUUCUGCUGGGCUUGGGGUGCGGAUGGUGCUGAACGCCCCAAAAGUGGCCAUGGAGCUGGGGAAGCCCCAGGAGGGGCUGAGGGAGCUGGGAAGGGGCUCAGCCUGGAGAAAAGGAGGCUCGGGGGGAAUUUCUGGCUCUGCACAAGUCCCUGCCAGGAGGGCACAGCCGGGGGGAUUUGGGAUUUCUGCCAGGGAACAGGGACAGGAGGAGAGGGAACGGCCUCAGGCUGGGCCAGGGGAGCUCAGGGUGGGAUCAGCAGGAAUUUCCCCAUGGAAAGGGUGGGCAGGGAUUGGAGGAUCAGCAGGAAUGGGGGGGGGGGGGGGGGGGGGGGGGGGGGGGGGGGGGGGGGGGGGGGGGGGGGGGGGGGGGGGCGCUCUUCCGAUCUAGUGUCCCGCAGGGGCUCGAAGAUGCAGGGCAGGGUGUCCUGGCUGCCCCAGGCCCCGGGGAGCAGCAGGGGCUGGUGCUUCGUCCCCUCCACGUGGCACUGGGGACGUGCCCAGGUGGUGACACCACAGCGAUCCUGGAGGGGACAGUCCCCAUCCCCACCAGCCGCUCUCCCAAAAACGAUGAAAAUUUGGAUCAGGAGAGGCUGUGCUCUAUCCAAACCCAUCCCCAAGGACGCACGGCCAGCCAGGACAGCAGGACACGUCCCCAACCCAGGGCAAGGCCCCUACCUUGACUCAGCCGCCCCCUCCAGCUCUCCUCUACAACUCUGGCCCCCCGGGGGGGGGGGGGGGGGGGGGGGGGGGGGGGGGGGGGGGGGGGGGGGGGGGGGGGGGGGGGGGGGGGGGGGGGGGGGGGGGGGGGGGGGGGGGGGGGGGGGGGGGGGGGGGGGGGG